UGCAUUGGAUUGAGAACAAUGUACAACUCUUAUCGAUAAGCCAUUGGAGGGCAAGUCUGGUGCCAGCAGCCGCGGUAAUUCCAGCUCCAAUAGCGUAUAUUAACGUUGUUGCAGUUAAAAAGCUCGUAGUUGAAGUGUGGGUGAUCGCUGUUGUGAGACUUCGGUCUCUCGAUAGUAAGUCACCCCCUUCCAGUAUCCAGUAGUGGGUAUUCAGUUACUUACUAUUGUGUGUUGGUCGUUUACUGUGAGAAAAUUAGAGUGUUCAAAGCAGGCGUUUGCUUGAAUAGAUUAGCAUGGAAUAAUAAUUGAAGGCUUUCGUGUUCGAUUUGAUUGGUUUGUUCAUGGAAGCAAGGUUAAAAGGAACAGUUGGGGGUAUUCAUAUUCACUAGUUAGAGGUGAAAUUCUCGGAUUUAUGGAAGAUGAACAAGUGCGAAAG
This 436-nucleotide ribosomal RNA is filed under the name Blastocystis sp. subtype 1. RNAcentral describes it as "SSU rRNA". It matches the Rfam family "Eukaryotic small subunit ribosomal RNA", at positions 505 to 951 of the family's 1831-position model. Lineage: Eukaryota; Bigyra; Opalinata; Blastocystidae. The record is from RNAcentral.